ACUGCGUCUGCGCAGGCUGAGUGCGCGCGGAGAGGACUUCGCUGGUGGUAUCACGAGGCCAAUCCAGUCAGCAGGUGCAUGGAGUUCUACAUCCACCCAUAGUCCACCAAUCAUUCAGUGUGAAUGGUCUUGGAGUUAAUUCAACAGGAGAAGAGUCAAGUGAGGUUACAGAUGAG
Molecule: long non-coding RNA, 176 nt
Organism: Budorcas taxicolor (takin)
Lineage: Eukaryota; Metazoa; Chordata; Mammalia; Artiodactyla; Bovidae
Exons: 3
Source: RefSeq, a predicted model, not a curated record